This 468-nucleotide ribosomal RNA is filed under the name uncultured bacterium. RNAcentral describes it as "partial 16S ribosomal RNA". It matches the Rfam family "Bacterial small subunit ribosomal RNA", at positions 28 to 507 of the family's 1533-position model. The record is from RNAcentral.
GGCGAACGCUGGCGGCGUGCUUAACACAUGCAAGUCGAACGGAAAGGCCCUGCUUUUGUGGGGUGCUCGAGUGGCGAACGGGUGAGUAACACGUGAGUAACCUGCCCUUGACCUUGGGAUAACUUCAGGAAACUGGGGCUAAUACCGGAUAGGAGCUCCUGCUGCAUGGUGGGGGUUGGAAAGUUUCGGCGGUUGGGGAUGGACUCGCGGCUUAUCAGCUUGUUGGUGGGGUAGUGGCUUACCAAGGCUUUGGCGGGUAGCCGGCCUGAGAGGGUGACCGGCCACAUUGGGACUGAGAUACGGCCCAGACUCCUACGGGAGGCAGCAGUGGGGAAUAUUGCACAAUGGGCGGAAGCCUGAUGCAGCAACGCCGCGUGCGGGAUGACGGCCUUCGGGUUGUAAACCGCUUUCGCCUGUGACGAAGCGUGAGUGACGGUAAUGGGUAAAGAAGCACCGGCUAACUACGUG